GCCGAAGUGGCGAAAUUGGUAGACGCGCACGUUUCAGGGGCGUGUGUCGCAAGACAUGCCGGUUCGAGUCCGGCCUUCGGCACGA
RNAcentral lists this transfer RNA (85 nucleotides) under Bacteroidota bacterium. Its description in RNAcentral is "Bacteroidetes bacterium tRNA-Leu". It matches the Rfam family "tRNA". Rfam says of the family: Transfer RNA (tRNA) molecules are approximately 80 nucleotides in length. Their secondary structure includes four short double-helical elements and three loops (D, anti-codon, and T loops). RNAcentral also lists the same sequence under 2 other names. Lineage: Bacteria; Pseudomonadati; Bacteroidota. The record is from RNAcentral.